This 75-nucleotide transfer RNA is filed under the name Rhodopirellula sp. RNAcentral describes it as "tRNA-Pro". It matches the Rfam family "tRNA". Rfam says of the family: Transfer RNA (tRNA) molecules are approximately 80 nucleotides in length. Their secondary structure includes four short double-helical elements and three loops (D, anti-codon, and T loops). The record is from RNAcentral. RNAcentral also lists the same sequence under 4 other names. Lineage: Bacteria; Pseudomonadati; Planctomycetota; Planctomycetia; Pirellulales; Pirellulaceae.
CGGGGCGUAGCGCAGCCUGGUUAGCGCGUCUGGUUUGGGACCAGAAGGUCGUGAGUUCGAAUCCCACCGCCCCGA